This is a small nuclear RNA of Lepisosteus oculatus (spotted gar), 167 nucleotides long. Its record names the gene U2. It matches the Rfam family "U2 spliceosomal RNA". From Rfam's summary of the family: U2 is a small nuclear RNA (snRNA) component of the spliceosome (involved in pre-mRNA splicing). Complementary binding between U2 snRNA (in an area lying towards the 5' end but 3' to hairpin I) and the branchpoint sequence (BPS) of the intron results the bulging out of an unpaired adenosine, on the BPS, which initiates a nucleophilic attack at the intronic 5' splice site, thus starting the first of two transesterification reactions that mediate splicing. The record is from Ensembl. Lineage: Eukaryota; Metazoa; Chordata; Actinopteri; Semionotiformes; Lepisosteidae.
ACCCCUGGUUUUCUAUUUUUGCACAAAAAAAACUGUUCUUAUCAGUCAGUUAAUAUCUGAUAUGUCCCCCAUCGGGGGACCACAUAUAAAACAGAUUUUUGGAACAGGGAGCUGGAUCAGGAGCUUGCUCCAUCCUCUCCACGCAUCGGCCCGGUAUUGCAGCGNNN